This 246-nucleotide ribosomal RNA is filed under the name Staphylococcus aureus. RNAcentral's name for it is "partial 23S ribosomal RNA". It matches the Rfam family "Bacterial large subunit ribosomal RNA", at positions 1 to 244 of the family's 2925-position model. Lineage: Bacteria; Bacillati; Bacillota; Bacilli; Caryophanales; Staphylococcaceae. The record is from RNAcentral.
GAUUAAGUUAUUAAGGGCGCACGGUGGAUGCCUUGGCACUAGAAGCCGAUGAAGGACGUUACUAACGACGAUAUGCUUUGGGGAGCUGUAAGUAAGCUUUGAUCCAGAGAUUUCCGAAUGGGGAAACCCAGCAUGAGUUAUGUCAUGUUAUCGAUAUGUGAAUACAUAGCAUAUCAGAAGGCACACCCGGAGAACUGAAACAUCUUAGUACCCGGAGGAAGAAAAAGAAAAUUCGAUUCCCUUAGU